Triticum aestivum (bread wheat) is the source of this 2523-nucleotide long non-coding RNA. RefSeq lists it as uncharacterized. The transcript is spliced from 10 exons. The record is from RefSeq and is a predicted model, not a curated record. Lineage: Eukaryota; Viridiplantae; Streptophyta; Magnoliopsida; Poales; Poaceae.
UCACGUCCUCCUCGUUCCUUCCACUCCCUCGCCUCCUCCUUCCUCCCCAUCCGGCGGCGCCUCCUCCCUCUUUCCCACGGCCUUCUGCAUCGCGCCGCCACCGGCUGGCUCCUCCUUCUCUCUUCUGGAUCGGGCGCAGCCGCCAUAGGAGAGCAUGGGCUCGAACUGAGUGAGGAAGAGGUGGUUUGCGGCCACGCGGGUGAGGAGGGCGGCCUUCCGCUGAACGCCACCGUCCUCUCCUCGCGCGCCCUCGCGGCCAGAAGAGGCAGAUAUGUACGGAGGAUCCACGAGCUUGGUGCCAUCCGUCCCGUCCGUCGACGCCCACCCCCUCUUCCCCAACGCGUAGGUGCUCUAUUCACUUGCGUCUUUGCUGCCUCAAGUGUGCGGAUGCGACCACCAGCUGUUUGUAUAAAUGCUCAAGGAGGACUGCUCUGGGGAGGACAUCACGUGUGUUUGAAAGAGAGGGAUGGAAAAGAGGGGGCUGGAGUGAGAGGAGAAGAGGAAGGAAUUGAACCACAUGUUAUUUCUUUGUCAUCGACGUCAUCCCACCAUUGUAGAGAUUUUCUUGGAUGACAUGCGGCCCAUACUCUCGCCCCUUGUCCUCCAUCUCUGUUGGUACCCUUUCAUGGUUUCUUGUCCACUUCUUUCAUGAUUUAUUCUUUUCAAAUAGUAAUUCAGGCUGUUAUACUAAUUUGAUUGAUGUGGGUGGUGUAAUAAUUCAGGUCGUGCAGGAUGGUCUGCUAAUUUCCCUGAUGCUUCAUUAGGUUUCGCUUUUUGAUACAUUGAUUGAUUCCCAAUUUGAUGCAAAUAACCAAAAUGAAUGAAUUGAUGUGGCCGUUAUACUAAAUUUUCCUUAUUUUGUGUGUGAUUAUGCUCGGGUUUUGGAAGAAUCGGGCUAAGGGGUGAUUGUGCUCAGGUUUUGAUGCAGUGAGAUUCAGAUAAUUUUAAGAAACGCAUGUAAAGGAGUCCAAACAGGACGGGCUCGGUGUACAUGGUUUUCAGUUAAUGCAGUUUAGGUCUGACCAGCACAAGUGGCAACAGGCAGUAGUGGAGAAGGCAUGAAGAGGCCCACAUCUGAAAAUGUCAACUAUUCUAGGAUUUUUGAGCUGCUGACCAUGUGAUUGGUAGCCGACGAUUUCUUCAUGGGUUGCUGAUUUCUCAAGUUUUGCCUCACACAAAAGAGGGCUAGCAACACCUUUGACAGAAACAGCCAACAUUCAGUGCAGAUCCGGUAUAUUCUGGUUGUCUUCCAUUUAGUUGACGGCAUGCAAGACUGAUCUGAUGCAUCUACUGCUUGUUGACUUGGUUAUAUUUAUCUAUAAAGUGGCAGUGGUGCAGAAUAUAUCCUCUGCCAUGGAAGGAGGUAUUUGAUGCUGUCAGAUGGCAUAUAGGUCAAUAAUGAGGUGACUGCCGGGGUAAUCUCAGGAAGGGACAACGACACAAAUUAACUUUGUUGACAAGCUCACGAUCACGGGGAACAAGCCGUCCUGCAGUGUUUCCAUGUACUGCAAGUUGACGACAAGUUCAUUGUUGACGCCAUGCAAUUUCUUACAAAAUACAUGUGGUACAGGUAUGAAGGCCGACACUGAUUAUCAAGUGGCAUCAGUGAAGAUUGGGAGGUAGAGAGGGAUUGCUCAAGUGGAAACAGAUCAAGAACCAGAAGGAGCUCAAGAUUUUGCUACUUCCUUGGUAAUAGCUUUGUGAGAUCAGUUAAAUAUUAUCCAGGACCAUGCACCCGCCCUUGACAAUGGCUUCCAGAAGCUAAGGUUGCAGGGGUGAAUUAAAGUUCGAUUUUCCAGCAGCGGGGUAACUACUACUGAUGGAGAUCAAACUAAUGAGCUCACGAAAAAGAAAUAUAGACAUCAAACACCAAAGGAGGUUAGUUUUUACCUGAGUGGAAACAGCAGUCGUAUCGUCUUGCUGGAGCCUCCUUUGUCAUGGAAAGUCACCAGCUUCCGGGAGUGCCAGCACAGCCGGAACAGACGCCACCUACGGCGGGGAGUGACAGUGGCAACUGCGCGGAUUUGGCUCACCCAUACGAGAAACGGCGGCGCCAUCUACCGACUUCGUGGCUCUGAGCUGGAGCGGGAGCUGCUGGGCCGUCGGGAUGCAGAUGGAGCCGCUGCAACUCCGAGCUGCCGGGCCACCGAGAUGCAGAUGGAGCCGCAACGCCUCCGAGCUGCAGCGGGAGCUGCUCCACCGCCAAGUUGUAGUGUGAGCCGCCGCGAAGAUGGAACCCAAGGUGCCCUCAUCCGCCUCCUCCAGCUGCUUCCUCACUUCAGUACGAGUACAGGGGGAGAGGAAUAGGACGAAGACUGGUGGAUGGAAUCAAGACCAGCGGUCAUGCGAGACACGUGGUAGGCAUUGUGCUACGUGGUGGUGGCUCGUGAAGCAACAAUUGACGUGUGUUGUUGUCUCUCAGCACGCUGUAUCUUGAGGGCAUGAUUGUAGUUUUCUUUAUCUUUGAGGUCUGUGAUGUUACUCAAACUGCCGGCCUUUUGGUUUUUGAUUUUAAUGAAAGCA